RNAcentral lists this transfer RNA (67 nucleotides) under Petrobiellus sp. 1 JZ-2014. RNAcentral's name for it is "tRNA-Arg". Lineage: Eukaryota; Metazoa; Arthropoda; Insecta; Archaeognatha; Machilidae. The record is from RNAcentral.
UAGUAAGAAACGAUAAUAUUGUAAUCAGUUUCGACCUGCACCUAGGCGACAUAUGCGCCCUUACUUU